RNAcentral lists this ribosomal RNA (468 nucleotides) under uncultured bacterium. RNAcentral's name for it is "partial 16S ribosomal RNA". It matches the Rfam family "Bacterial small subunit ribosomal RNA", at positions 28 to 507 of the family's 1533-position model. The record is from RNAcentral.
GACGAACGCUGGCGGCGUGCUUAACACAUGCAAGUCGAACGGUAAAGCGCUUCUUUUGUUGGGUGCUGUGGUGGCGAAGGGAACAGGAACGUGACACUAGCCUGACCUGCACUCUGGUAUAGCUUAAGCGCACGAGAGCGAAGCCAGUAUAGGAGCUCCUGCGGCUGGGUGGUGGUGGGUCUGGUUCGGGGGUUGGGUCGGGGCGCGCGGCUCAUGAGGUCGUUGGUGGGGUAGUGGCGUACCAAGGCUUUGACGGGUAGCCGGCCUGAGUGGGUGACAGGCCACAUUGGGACUGAGACACGGGCCAGACUCCUACGGGAGGCAGCAGUGGGGAAUAGUGCACAAUGGGCGGAAGGCUGAUGCAGCGACGCCGCGUGCGGGAUGACGGCCUUCGGGUUGUAAACCGCGUUCGCCUGUUACGAAGCGUGAGUGACGGUAAUGGGAAAAGAAGCACCGGCUAACUACGUG